GGAGUUGUGGCUCAGAGGUAGAGCGCUCACCUCCCACGUGCGAGACCCUCGGUUCGAUUCUCAGCACCA
Ictidomys tridecemlineatus (thirteen-lined ground squirrel) is the source of this 69-nucleotide non-coding RNA. Lineage: Eukaryota; Metazoa; Chordata; Mammalia; Rodentia; Sciuridae. The record is from Rfam.